Molecule: transfer RNA, 76 nt
Filed under: Candidatus Moranbacteria bacterium CG_4_9_14_3_um_filter_40_7
Lineage: Bacteria; Candidatus Moraniibacteriota
Also listed under: 2 other names
Description: tRNA-Lys
Rfam family: tRNA
About the family: Transfer RNA (tRNA) molecules are approximately 80 nucleotides in length.
Source: RNAcentral
GCAUCCAUAGCUCAGUUGGUAGAGCAGGAAGCUCUUAACUUCAAGGUCGCAGGUUCGAAUCCUGCUGGAUGCACCU